This 71-nucleotide transfer RNA is filed under the name Ostreobium quekettii. RNAcentral describes it as "tRNA-Cys". It matches the Rfam family "tRNA". From Rfam's summary of the family: Transfer RNA (tRNA) molecules are approximately 80 nucleotides in length. Their secondary structure includes four short double-helical elements and three loops (D, anti-codon, and T loops). Further hydrogen bonds mediate the characteristic L-shaped molecular structure. tRNAs have two regions of fundamental functional importance: the anti-codon, which is responsible for specific mRNA codon recognition, and the 3' end, to which the tRNAs corresponding amino acid is attached (by aminoacyl-tRNA synthetases). tRNAs cope with the degeneracy of the genetic code in two manners: having more than one tRNA (with a specific anti-codon) for a particular amino acid; and 'wobble' base-pairing, i.e. permitting non-standard base-pairing at the 3rd anti-codon position. The record is from RNAcentral. Lineage: Eukaryota; Viridiplantae; Chlorophyta; Ulvophyceae; Bryopsidales; Ostreobiaceae.
GGCGACAUAGCCAAGUGGUAAGGCAGUGGAUUGCAAAUCCUUGAGCCCCAGUUCAAAUCUGGGUGUCGCCU